UACGGAGGGUGCGAGCGUUAUUCGGAAUUACUGGGCGUAAAGCGCGUGUAGGCGGCAGGGCAAGUCUGGUGUGAAAGCCCGGGGCUCAACCCCGGAAGUGCAUUGGAAACUGCUCUGCUUGAGUACCGGAGAGGAAGGGGGAAUUCCCGGUGUAGCGGUGAAAUGCGUAGAUAUCGGGAGGAAUACCAGUGGCGAAGGCGCCCUUCUGGACGGUUCCUGACGCUGAGGCACGAAAGCGUGGGGAGCAAACCGG
RNAcentral lists this ribosomal RNA (253 nucleotides) under uncultured microorganism. RNAcentral describes it as "partial 16S ribosomal RNA". It matches the Rfam family "Bacterial small subunit ribosomal RNA", at positions 524 to 776 of the family's 1533-position model. The record is from RNAcentral.